This 64-nucleotide transfer RNA is filed under the name Cavia porcellus (domestic guinea pig). It matches the Rfam family "tRNA". Rfam says of the family: Transfer RNA (tRNA) molecules are approximately 80 nucleotides in length. Lineage: Eukaryota; Metazoa; Chordata; Mammalia; Rodentia; Caviidae. The record is from Rfam by way of RNAcentral.
GGGGAUUUAGCUCAGCGGCAUAAGCGCCUGCCUGGCAAGCAGGCAGUUGUGAGUUCAAUCCCUG